UAACAAGGCACACCACAUUUUUCUACCUAUUUUAUGAAUGGACACACUCUUUCUCAGCUCAUAUUAGAUCGCUAAUAACAAAGUAUGAAAUAUAUAAUCUCACUGGAGCGGUAGCUCACUAUAUCCCUUUCGAUCCAACAUUUCGAUUAAGAUUUUUCCCGUAAAACACAAUUAAUUUUUUUUCUUUCAACGAGAAUUAGUCUGAGUUUCUGUUGGUCAAUGUGAUGUACGUAUCCCUUCCUUCAAGGUGUGGCUCGGCUUCCCAAUAAUGCACCUGAUCAUCAUGGGAUUCCUGACGGUGUUUCCGGUGAUACGCCAGCCUCUGGAGGUGGUAGCGGCGCUGGUGGUCAUUGUCACGGGUAUUCCAGUCUAUUACUUCGCCAUCCACCGCCAGGAUAAGCCCAAGAAAUUCCUCUACGCCAUGGAUAAAGUGACAUAUGUGUGUCAGAUGCUGUUCCUGGCCGUGCCUGAGGGAGGAACAAGUUGAGAUCACGUCAUGUACUGAAGAGGAUGUGACUGAUGCUUUUGUAACUCUUAAAAAAGUCUUCCUUGGUAAACUCAAGCCUUAAAGUUGGUUAUGAAUUUUUUAAUUUGGAAUUUUCCAUAGUUUAUGCACGGCUAUUUCGUAGCAGUUGUCUUCCAUUGAGAGUUCUGAAGACUAACUUCACAAAGCUUCGAGUGUACUUUGGAAAAUAUUUUCUCAUGAAAGAAAUGAGUUUUUAAUGAGUGCAUAUAGGAGCCCAUUCGUUGUUACAAGAGCCCUAUACAAAAUUAUAAAUUGCGUACAGAAAACUAUCCAGGUUGGGUAUGACAGCCUUCUGAAAUGGGUACAGAAGAACCUAGAGAGGGUGGAAAAGUUCUUUACCCUGCAGCAACACAUCUCCUGCUAGAGGGCCGAGCCCACCUACCCCACUGGUAGAAAGGGGUUUUUACACCCUCAUAGGGGAAGAACUUUUCAGCAACAUUCUCAGCUUUUGAGAGCAUGACGCUUCUCGUGGCGCUGUAGACUACAAAUAUGUAUCGUGAUAUAUUAUCUAUUAAAAUUAUUGAAAAUCUAU
Molecule: non-coding RNA, 1058 nt
Organism: Procambarus clarkii (red swamp crayfish)
Lineage: Eukaryota; Metazoa; Arthropoda; Malacostraca; Decapoda; Cambaridae
Source: RefSeq, a predicted model, not a curated record